GAUACAGAAGACAACGUGGCAAUCUCCCUGUACUGUGUAAUCUAGUUCUGCGAUCUGGAGUUUGUAUUGGAUUCUGUCUCUAUACAACUGAAAUGGCUUUGUGUGCUCCAAUCCACAAAUUGUCCAUUGCAUCCUCAUUAUCAAGUGGAAAUAAUGCAAGAGCCAGAAGAACAAGGAAAAAAGAAUUGAUGAUUGUGCAGAUGACGGCAUCGUGGGACGUGGCAGCGUAUGAGGAGGGACAGCUGGAACGACCCAAGUGGGCAGGAGAGACGCCUCUCUCUCGUCUUGUUGCAGCUCUCAUUUCUGUCAAGCCCAUCUACACAGUCCUCAAGUCUGGCGCCAGACAAGUUCUCAUCAGUACAGCUGAAAAAAAUAACAUUCCUUGGCGGGAAAUGAGCAAAGAAAUUUUGGAGUCAGAUGUUUACAAGGAGAUGGAGAGCAUUCAAAAUCCCUCCAUUGUGUACCCAGAUUACUAUCUGAAUCCUUUUCAUGCAUAUGAUGAAGGCAAUCUUUCAUGGCUGGCUGCAGCAGAAGCAGAGGCUGCAGACUUGUCGAUGACAAGACGAGCAAUACCAUUUGCUUCUUCAGUUGAUGAAGCAAAUUGUAUAAUGCGUGGAAAUUGGCUUCAAACAAUCAAACUACAUCAUCAACAGUAUUGUGGUGAGAUCAGAGACAUUCUAGAUAUUGGAUGCUCUGUUGGUGUGAGCACAAGAUUUCUUGCUCAAUACUUCCUUUCUGCUAAAGUCACGGGGCUAGAUCUGUCACCUUACUUUCUUGCUGUAGCACAAUAUAAGGACAAGAGAGGAACCCCAAGAAAGAAUCCAAUCAGCUGGAUACAUGCAAAUGGAGAAGACACAGGCUUGCCUUCUAAAUCAUAUGACCUUAUCUCCCUAUCUUAUGUGCUCCAUGAAUGUCCUGAACGAGCAAUAAUUGGUUUAUUGGGGGAAUCAUUUCGGCUGCUUCGACCUGGAGGCACCAUUGCUUUGAAUGAUAUUGCACCAAAGUCAAAGACUCUUCAGGAACUGCCUCCAGUGUUGUUUACAUUAAUGAAGAGCACCGAGCCAUUUCUAGAUGAAUACUUCCUGACUGAUCUGGAAGGAAGAAUGAGGGAAGUUGGGUUUGUAAAUAUAAAAUCAGUUCUCACCGACCCUAGGCACAGAACCGUGACAGCAAGUGUGCCACAUUAACAAGUUAAUGUUCUCUCUGCAGCAUACUCCAUUUUCUGUGAGAUACCACAAGGAAUAGCGCAGCUUCAUACAGGUGGUCGCCUUCUGCAUGCUUUUUAUAGGUAUUGGAUUCCAGAAAAGAGCACAGGCGUAUGAUUUUCAAUCAGCUCUACAUGAUCACACGAAGUAUCCCUCCAUCUACCUCUUUGCAUUACAUAUCUUUUUGUCAUACUCUUUAUGAAUGGUCGCUUAAGUAGAUGAUUGUACCGCCGUGAUUAUAACGUGCUUUAAAUUGUAUAAAAGAUAUCUGAACAACAAGAGAACGGCAGAAGAGAUGAAGGCCUUUUGAUUUC
Mangifera indica (mango) is the source of this 1519-nucleotide RNA transcript. RefSeq lists it as uncharacterized. Lineage: Eukaryota; Viridiplantae; Streptophyta; Magnoliopsida; Sapindales; Anacardiaceae. The record is from RefSeq and is a predicted model, not a curated record. The transcript is spliced from 10 exons.